This 370-nucleotide small RNA is filed under the name Oryza sativa Japonica Group (Japanese rice). RNAcentral's name for it is "sRNA Os03g0285850". The record is from RNAcentral. Lineage: Eukaryota; Viridiplantae; Streptophyta; Magnoliopsida; Poales; Poaceae.
AGGAGCUUACGUUCUCGUGGUCGAGGUGCCUGAGGAGCUUGAUCUCCCGGAGCGUGCGCUUGGCGUCCAUGUCGUUGUUGAACGCGUUGGCGAUCUUCUUUAUCGCCACCAUCUCCCUCGUCUCAAAGUUCAUCACGGAGCUGUAGGCACCAGCACACGGAAUUCAGAAGAGAAAUUAGAAAAACAAAGCACCAAAAAGUACUCCGAAUAGACAUGCCAACCAACGAUCCCGUAGGCGCCGCGGCCAAUGGGCAUGAUGGGCGGCUGGUACUUGUUCGUCACCUCGAACUUGUUCCCGAAGAUGUCGUAGAGCAGGUACCGGCCGCCGUGCGUCAUCGUCGGCCUGAACUCCGCCACCGGCGCCCCGUCC